GAAUGCCACGGUGAAUACGUUCCCGGGCCUUGUACACACCGCCCGUCACACCAUGGGAGUGGGUUGCAAAAGAAGUAGGUAGCUUAACCUUCGGGAGGGCGCUUACCACUUUGUGAUUCAUGACUGGGGUGAAGUCGUAACAAGGUAACCGUAGGGGAACCUGCGGUUGGAUCACCUCCUUACCUUAAAGAA
This 192-nucleotide ribosomal RNA is filed under the name Salmonella enterica subsp. enterica serovar Infantis. Its description in RNAcentral is "partial 16S ribosomal RNA". It matches the Rfam family "Bacterial small subunit ribosomal RNA", at positions 1352 to 1533 of the family's 1533-position model. RNAcentral also lists the same sequence under 1 other name. Lineage: Bacteria; Pseudomonadati; Pseudomonadota; Gammaproteobacteria; Enterobacterales; Enterobacteriaceae. The record is from RNAcentral.